Molecule: long non-coding RNA, 2087 nt
Organism: Oncorhynchus tshawytscha (Chinook salmon)
Lineage: Eukaryota; Metazoa; Chordata; Actinopteri; Salmoniformes; Salmonidae
Source: Ensembl
AAACAAAUGAAUUUCGAGGGCAAAAUCGACAGAUAUAUAACGCGGUUGAAAACACACAAUACUCCAUGCAGCUCCGGGAAUGUUCCUGCCUGCAGCCGGCCCUCUCCUCCCCGGCUUCACAAACUUUGAUCAGCGAGGCCUGGCCGCGGAGCCGCUUGAGCCGUGCAGCAUGGUUUGCUGGCAGAGGAGGAUGGGUAUAAAUGGAGACUGUCACAGGAGAGGAGGGUAAAAACCAGGGGCAUGUUCAGGAGGCAGACAACAUUUUGAAACAGCUAAGGUGUGCCCUCCUUUAACAGGCCCCUGCCCCUGGUAGAGGUGCCAGCUGGGGCACUGGCCUGGGCAUGGUUCCCUCAGACUCAGAGAGACAUUGGCAUGCAGGGCAUCAUGUCACAGUGUGGGGCACCAGGGGAGCGUCAGUGGGCAAACCAUAGAAAUAUAAUGAAUAGAACAGGCGUCCCCAUUCAAGUCAAUUAUGCCCAUAGUGGAGGUGUCAUAAUACCCAUAAAACCCAGUGGUCAGACGGGGAAAUGGUUCCAAUCGUUUUUUCCACCAUUAAUUUUUCCCAUAGGGGAAUUUAGAAAUACUUAAAAUUAGGGCUGUUUCUUGUAGGCUUACCCUUGUGUGAUGUUAUGAUAACCAUGUAAAUCUCUCUCGGACAAGGUGACUUAAUAUAUUUGGCUCUAUUUACUCUCAGAUUCAAAAAUGCUAAUUAGCUUCAAAGUAGACAUCACGCAAAACUACAAAUCUCUGCAAGCUCCUGCACGUCAUCUCUAGCUGACACCUCUGCUAUCAGGUAUUGUGUCAAUUUAAAACUGACAAAAGGGCAGUACUGAGGCGUCACUACAGCCUCGGGUUCGAUCCCAGCCGGCUGUGACCGGGAGACACAUGAGGCGGCGCACAUUUGGCCCAAGUUAGGGAAGGGUUUGGCCGGCCGGGAUUUCCUUGUCUCAUCGUACUCUAGUGUCUCCUUGUGGCGGGCCGGGCGCCUGCAAGCUGAUUUCGGUUGUCAGUUGGAUAGUGUUUCCUCUGACACAUUGGUGCGGCUGGCUUUGGAGUUAAGCGAGCAGUGUGUCAAGAAGCAGUGCAGCUUGGCGUUGCGGAGGACGCAUGGCUCUCGACCUUCACCUCUCCCGAGUCCGUAGUGGAGUUGCAGCAACGAGACAAGACUAACUAUCAAUUGGGGAGAGUUUUUUUUUUUAACCAAAAGACAGUUCACAGAAAUGUCCGUUUAAAGAAAUGUAGACAAUUUAUUUAUUACUACAUUUAGCAUUAACAGAUAGUUAAUCCAGAGAUUCUUACCUUUGCCUCGAUUCGGCAGCCUCCUCCAGGUCAUCAUGGUAUUUGUAGUUCUUAAUGAUAGCCACAUUAGCAGCUAAUUAGCAUUUCAUUUUUUUUGGUGGGGGGGGGGUGUAAAUACAGGCAAAUUAUUGAUAAAAGUAACCGGUUAUCAAAACGUCACUCCAGGGUAACCCUACAUGAAACACAGCCCUUAUUUUAAGUGUUUAUAAAAUCCCCCAUGAAUGAUGAUGAAUGGUAGAAAAAUGAUUUGAAACAUUUCCCUGUUUGACCGCUAGGUUUUAUGGGUAUAUGACUCAUACUGUGGUACUCUAUGGGUGGACAAGUCAUAUGUGCUGUAAUUUGUUGAUUAAACUGACAUUACAAAAAAAUACAUUCGUUUGAAUGAACAUGGAAAUGAUUGCAUCACAUUACCAGGCAGCCACUGUAAGUGUACCCAUGUGUUUACCAAUCAAAAAUGCCAGGGUUAGAAGUUCCAAGCCCAUUCAAUUCAUUCUUUUUCUAUGGGGCAAACAACCUGAAGGCAAGAGCAGAGCCAGUGCUUGUUGGCCUGAGUAUGCCUGCUCAAACACAUUCACAUGGGCAUUGUUUCAGUCUCUGGCCUGGUUUUGCUCCUGUCUAAGGUAAGUGAAUUGCAUUGAAACAUAGAGGCCCUACAUCAAUUAGUCUUGUACUGAUUUUAGAUUCUUGAACAUUUUGUAGUUCUUUUGAUUCUUGUCCUGAGUGUCAGAUAAGUUUUAGAGUGUUGUAUUCACAGUCUGCUUUUCCACAAUAAACUGGCAGAAAAUGUG